UUUCCGUAGGUGAACCUGCGGAAGGAUCAUUAUGAGAGAGAGAGAGAGAGAGGGUAGUUUUAUAAACUGGUUGGAAGGGGAUGUUUAUUGCAAAGAGUACAGCAUAGCAAAACAAUCCAAUACACACCAGACCCAAGAUUACAAAUUAACACCAACCCUAAUUACAGAAGCACCUUGCUGCAAUGGAUCUCUCGGCUCUU
Molecule: unclassified non-coding RNA, 200 nt
Filed under: plant metagenome
Description: partial contains small subunit ribosomal RNA, internal transcribed spacer 1, and 5.8S ribosomal RNA
Source: RNAcentral